RNAcentral lists this ribosomal RNA (324 nucleotides) under uncultured eukaryote. RNAcentral describes it as "partial 18S ribosomal RNA". It matches the Rfam family "Eukaryotic small subunit ribosomal RNA", at positions 1470 to 1796 of the family's 1831-position model. The record is from RNAcentral.
CCCUUAGAUGUUCUGGGCCGCACGCGCGCUACACUGAUGCAUUCAACGAGUUUCUUCCUGGUCCGAGAGGAAUGGGUAACCUUUUGAAAGUGCAUCGUGAUAGGGAUAGACUAUUGCAAUUAUUGGUCUUCAACGAGGAAUUCCUAGUAGACGUAGUUCAUCAGACUGCAUCGAUUACGUCCCUGCCCUUUGUACACACCGCCCGUCGCUCCUACCGAUUGAGUGCUCAGGUGAGCCAUUCGGACUUUCAUCAUGCUGGUUUCCAGUUUUGAUGAAGGAAAGUCUUGCGAACCUUAUCAUUUAGAGGAAGGAGAAGUCGUAACA